AACUCUCAGCGAUGGAUCACUCGGCUUGUGCGUCGCUGAAGAACGUAGCUAACUGUGAGAAAAAAUGUGAAUUGCAGGACACAUUGAUCAUCGACACUUCGAACGCACCUUGGUCCUCAGGUUCCUCCUGGGGCUACGCCUGUUUGAGGGUCG
RNAcentral lists this ribosomal RNA (153 nucleotides) under Oncorhynchus kisutch (coho salmon). Its description in RNAcentral is "5.8S ribosomal RNA (ENSOKIG00005001633.1)". It matches the Rfam family "5.8S ribosomal RNA". From Rfam's summary of the family: 5.8S ribosomal RNA (5.8S rRNA) is a component of the large subunit of the eukaryotic ribosome. Lineage: Eukaryota; Metazoa; Chordata; Actinopteri; Salmoniformes; Salmonidae. The record is from Rfam by way of RNAcentral.